AGCGAACGCUGGCGGCAGGCCUAACACAUGCAAGUCGAACGGACCCUUCGGGGUUAGUGGCGGACGGGUGAGUACCACGUGGGAACGUGCCUUUAGGUUCGGAAUAGCUCCUGGAAACGGGUGGUAAUGCCGAAUGUGCCCUUCGGGGGAAAGAUUUAUCGCCUUUAGAGCGGCCCGCGUCUGAUUAGCUAGUUGGUGAGGUAACGGCUCACCAAGGCGACGAUCAGUAGCUGGUCUGAGAGGAUGACCAGCCACACUGGGACUGAGACACGGCCCAGACUCCUACGGGAGGCAGCAGUGGGGAAUCUUGCGCAAUGGGCGAAAGCCUGACGCAGCCAUGCCGCGUGAAUGAUGAAGGUCUUAGGAUUGUAAAAUUCUUUCACCGGGGACGAUAAUGACGGUACCCGGAGAAGAAGCCCCGGCUAACUUCGUG
Molecule: ribosomal RNA, 433 nt
Filed under: uncultured bacterium
Lineage: Bacteria
Description: partial 16S ribosomal RNA
Rfam family: Bacterial small subunit ribosomal RNA
Source: RNAcentral